RNAcentral lists this ribosomal RNA (325 nucleotides) under uncultured bacterium. Its description in RNAcentral is "bacterial SSU rRNA". It matches the Rfam family "Bacterial small subunit ribosomal RNA", at positions 89 to 423 of the family's 1533-position model. The record is from RNAcentral.
AGUAGAGUGGCGAACGGGUGAGUAACGCGUGGAUGAUCUGCCUGGUAGUGGGGGAUAACUCGGGGAAACCCGGGCUAAUACCGCAUGCGCCCUGUAAAGGGGAAAGGUUUUUAAUUGCUAUCAGAGUGAGUCCGCGUCCGAUUAGCUGGUUGGUAGGGUAAUGGCUUACCAAGGCGACGAUCGGUAGCCGGUCUGAGAGGACGGACGGCCACACUGGGACUGAGACACUGGCCCAGACUCCUACGGGAGGCAGCAGUGGGGAAUUUUGGGCAAUGGGCGCAAGCCUGACCCAGCAACGCCGCGUGGAGGAUGAAAGUUUUCGAAU